This 506-nucleotide ribosomal RNA is filed under the name uncultured bacterium. Its description in RNAcentral is "partial 16S ribosomal RNA". It matches the Rfam family "Bacterial small subunit ribosomal RNA", at positions 29 to 523 of the family's 1533-position model. The record is from RNAcentral.
AUUGAACGCUGGCGGCAGGCCUAACACAUGCAAGUCGGACGGUAGCACAGAGGAGCUUGCUCCUCGGGUGACGAGUGGCGGACGGGUGAGUAAUGUCUGGGGAUCUGCCCGAUAGAGGGGGAUAACCACUGGAAACGGUGGCUAAUACCGCAUAACGUCGCAAGACCAAAGAGGGGGACCUUCGGGCCUCUCACUAUCGGAUGAACCCAGAUGGGAUUAGCUAGUAGGCGGGGUAACGGCCCACCUAGGCGACGAUCCCUAGCUGGUCUGAGAGGGUGACCAGCCACACUGGAACUGAGACACGGUCCAGACUCCUACGGGAGGCAGCAGUGGGGAAUAUUGCACAAUGGGCGCAAGCCUGAUGCAGCCAUGCCGCGUGUAUGAAGAAGGCCUUCGGGUUGUAAAGUACUUUCAGCGGGGAGGAAGGCGAUGUGGUUAAUAACCGCAUUGAUUGACGUUACCCGCAGAAGAAGCACCGGCUAGCUCCGUGCCAGCCGCCGCCGUAA